Long non-coding RNA from Oncorhynchus mykiss (rainbow trout), 2921 nucleotides. The record is from Ensembl. Lineage: Eukaryota; Metazoa; Chordata; Actinopteri; Salmoniformes; Salmonidae.
AAUCUUAUUCGGUAUAAAAUGUAUUUCUUCCCGAUAUGUGAUCAACUUGCAACACCACUUGAAGUUAGCUUAACUGCCUGAGACCACCGCCCAACGUCUACUAUUCAAAUAUUUAGCUGGCUAUUCGUAUGACGUCACAAUUCUUCACAAGACCGUCUAGUAACGUGCAUAUUUAGCUUCGUAUUCACAAGGCUUCAUAUGGUUAUUUUCUUGAGAGACAUCAAGGGGGCAUCAACGACCUCCCUGCAGGGAAGAGACAAAUGAUGGAGAAGUUUUUCACUCCUGUUCAUAGUCCUCCUCCAGGUGGGAUCACAUCACAGAAGCACCGCCAUCACCGGGAUCAAGAAAAAGAGAUACACAGCUACAGGAGGUCACGGGACAAUGAUAGACGCAGCAGCGAACGCCACGUUCACCACCAUCACCGUGGUAACCAUUUCCAAGAUGACCAGGAGCAAUCCCAUAGACGUCACCAUCAUCAUCCUCAGCACCUUCAUCAUGACGACGAGAUGUCGGACCACCACACCACAGUCACCCUCUCCAGAGCAUCUUCCUCCUCCCUCUCAUCUUCCGACUCGUCCUCCUCCGACUCUUCCAUCGAAUGGUCUGGCAUUGACGACAAGUUCUCCCUGAAGCACGCCAGCCGGCCGCAGCAUACCAUGUCCUGCUCCAACAUUGCAGGAGGACGACAGUUCCGUGAGGAUGACAGUGAGCUGCAGGUGUAUGCCACGGUCAAACAGGGGCAACUGCACGGAGGAGGAAGCCCUGGGACCAACCAUCGGGCCCAGGGGAGGGGAGGACAAAAGCCCAGCUACUCCGAGCUCAACCGGGGCCACAGCCGCAGUGAAGAGGGGUUGCUGCAGAAUACAGGCACUGACAGAGGGAAAGCACGGACACCCCCACACCUGAAGCACGGACCCCUCUACAAGACAGCCAGCCUGGGCCGUAGCCUGGCCUUCAGUGAAGAGGUCCUGGCUGGGCCAAAGAGGGCAGUAUCCUCGAUCCAGCUCCCCAGUAAAGGCAUCCUGAAAAACAAGGAGGCGCCACCGGACAUCCGCAAGGCCAAAUCCAUGGAGGUGCUGUCCCCCCGUGUGGCAGGCAAGACAGCAGGGCCCAAGGGGAAGCAGGAUGUGGAGGCUCUGAAGGAUGCAGCCAGGCAGAGCAUGGUGAAGGGGAAGAUACAGUUCUCUGCCUUCCUGGAUGAGAUCACUAAACAGGUCAUCAGCCCCGCCCGUCUCAAUACUCUGGGGGUCCCUGUCGAGACUGUAGGACCGGGUCCAGCCAAAACCCCAGCAUCCCCCAAAUCUCAACUGAAAAGUCAGCCCCAGCUUCCCUUGAAAAAGCAGGGAGAUGGGCAGGGGGAGGAGAGGGAGACGGUUGCUAAACCUAGGAAACUGAGGAAUGACUCUGACACACGAUCACGGAAAAUAUCUCUCCCUACAAAGUUUGGGUAUGAAAGCAAGAACCACACUCCUCGUCUAGGCAGCCCCCCAACCCGCCACUCCAGCCAACCCUACCCGCCCCACCCACCGGCUGGCUAUGAAGACCAACCGGCCUCCCUGCCUGACUUCCAGGGUCCUGUCGGUAAUAGGCAUGGACGGUAUGGCUCCCUUCUUACAGACGGCACUGUCAGCUCCAGCCCUGAGCCCAGCCAUCACAAACACCGGAGCUACAAACACCUUGACCAGAGCCACAGGUCCACCCAUAGCCCACCUUCAUCUCCACACACCCAGCAACCCCAGCUACCCCACCGCACCCCAAUCCGCACACACUCCCCUCCUCCAGUGGCAGGACCCGAGUCGGAGUCUCCCUCCAGCAAGUCUGACUCAUCCCGGAACAGAGACCGAGACACGGCCAGCCCCAGCUCCGAGCAGAGCGACCGCCAUAACCGAUCAACCUACCGCUGGCGUCCAAAGCCACACAGGGCCUUGACAGGUGACAAAGGAGAACUCCAGGCACUGCAGGAGGAGAAUGCUGAGCUGCACCAGAACCUGAUGCAAACAGUGGUCUGCAUUGAGAGUCUGGAGGCGGAGCUAGCCAGGGCCAGGGAGGAGCUUAGCCACAUGAAGGAGAAGUUCAAGAGACUCCAGGACACACACACAGGUACCCAGCACACCAACAGCCUUCUGGGGGAGAAACUGCACUCAGCGACUGAGAGCCUUAGCUCUGAGAGGAAGUAUAUGGUGCAGCGUAUCGCCCAUCUCAGCACAGAGCUGGAGCAGGCCAACGCCACCAUCGCCUCUCUGGAGAACAUCAAUGUUCCCUGUCUGAUCAAGGAGCUCAUAGAGAAGCACUUUGACUCUGGAGACACUGUCAAGCAGUUCCUGAAGAACGCCUUGAAAACCGGCCAAUCCACAAGCGACAUCCAAUCACCCGCUACAAAACUGGAGCAGAAGCCGUCUGAUUGGUCAGGUGCAGGACUCAGGGAGUUUGAGGCGGGUCCACAAAAGGUCACUGCUUUUAUGCCCUGGAAGCAGGAGGAGGGGUUUGGGGUGAUAGGUCAGACAGGAAAUGAGGAUUCUCGCCCGAUGAGUCCCCCUUUCUCCGUCGCUGACAUCAGUAUGGCUAUCUAUAAGAAACUAGCUGCCAGCCAAGCGGCAAGACAGCCCCGGCCUUCCAACUACCAACCUCACACUGACACCCCUCCCAACCCCUACCCUCUGGUGGAGUUGGGAAAAGGGGGUGCAGAAGGUGCAUGGGAGGAGGGUUACCUUGUGCCUGCUGUCAAGGGGGGCGUGGCAGUUGCAGGGAGAGCAGCUGAGAGUAAGCAGGGUGCUGUUGUUGAUGUGUCCUAUCUGACGGCCCAGAGGGUUCUGGAUGACUUCAUGCACCAGCUGACACACCCAGAGGAUGGGAGCGGUGGGGAGAGGGGGCACAAGGCCAACGGGGGAGGGGGAACAGCUGAAGAGAGGGGGGCGGAGUGA